This 33-nucleotide non-coding RNA is filed under the name Alexandrium minutum. Lineage: Eukaryota; Dinophyceae; Gonyaulacales; Pyrocystaceae. The record is from RNAcentral.
UUUUUUUUUUUUUUUUUUUUUUUUUUUUUCUUC